Non-coding RNA from Gossypium hirsutum (cotton), 74 nucleotides. NCBI's taxonomy places the organism in Eukaryota, Viridiplantae, Streptophyta, Magnoliopsida, Malvales, Malvaceae. The record is from Rfam.
GCUGGAAUAGCUCAGUUGGUUGGAGCGUGUGGCUGUUAACCACAAGGUUGGAGGUUCAAGCCCUCCUUCUAGCA